Molecule: ribosomal RNA, 524 nt
Filed under: uncultured bacterium
Lineage: Bacteria
Description: bacterial SSU rRNA
Rfam family: Bacterial small subunit ribosomal RNA
Source: RNAcentral
UGGGGAAUAUUGGACAAUGGACCAAGAGUCUGAUCCAGCAAUUCUGUGUGCACGAUGAAGUUUUUCGGAAUGUAAAGUGCUUUCAGUUGGGAAGAAAAAAAUGACGGUACCAACAGAAGAAGUGACGGCUAAAUACGUGCCAGCAGCCGCGGUAAUACGUAUGUCACAAGCGUUAUCCGGAUUUAUUGGGCGUAAAGCGCGUCUAGGUGGUUAUGUAAGUCUGAUGUGAAAAUGCAGGGCUCAACUCUGUAUUGCGUUGGAAACUGUGUAACUAGAGUACUGGAGAGGUAAGCGGAACUACAAGUGUAGAGGUGAAAUUCGUAGAUAUUUGUAGGAAUGCCGAUGGGGAAGCCAGCUUACUGGACAGAUACUGACGCUGAAGCGCGAAAGCGUGGGUAGCAAACAGGAUUAGAUACCCUGGUAGUCCACGCCGUAAACGAUGAUUACUAGGUGUUGGGGGUCGAACCUCAGCGCCCAAGCAAACGCGAUAAGUAAUCCGCCUGGGGAGUAUGUACACAAGUAUG